CAGCCGCCGCGGUAAUACAUAGGUGGCAAGCGUUGUCCGGAAUUAUUGGGCGUAAAGCGCGCGCAGGUGGUUUAAUAAGUCUGAUGUGAAAGCCCACGGCUCAACCGUGGAGGGUCAUUGGAAACUGUUAAACUUGAGUGCAGGAGAGAAAAGUGGAAUUCCUAGUGUAGCGGUGAAAUGCGUAGAUAUAUGGAGGAACACCAGUGGCGAAGGCGACUCUCUGGUCUGUAACUGACGCUGAGGCUCGAAAGCGUGGGUAGCAAACAGGAUUAGAUACCCCAGUAGUCCCUGUCUCUUAUAA
RNAcentral lists this ribosomal RNA (301 nucleotides) under uncultured bacterium. RNAcentral describes it as "partial 16S ribosomal RNA". It matches the Rfam family "Bacterial small subunit ribosomal RNA", at positions 509 to 809 of the family's 1533-position model. The record is from RNAcentral.